CAGUCGCCACGGUAAUACGGAGGGGGCUAGCGUUGUUCGGAAUUACUGGGCGUAAAGCGCACGUAGGCGGCUUUGUAAGUCAGAGGUGAAAGCCUGGAGCUCAACUCCAGAAUUGCCUUUGAGACUGCAUCGCUUGAACGUCGGAGAGGUGAGUGGAAUUCCGAGUGUAGAGGUGAAAUUCGUAGAUAUUCGGAAGAACACCAGUGGCGAAGGCGGCUCACUGGACGACUGUUGACGCUGAGGUACGAAAGCAUGGGGAGCAAACAGGAUUAGAUACCCCGGUAGUCCCUGUCUCUUAUAC
Molecule: ribosomal RNA, 301 nt
Filed under: uncultured bacterium
Lineage: Bacteria
Description: partial 16S ribosomal RNA
Rfam family: Bacterial small subunit ribosomal RNA
Source: RNAcentral